CAACCCUCAAGCACAGCUUGGUGUUGGGCCCUGCCAGCGAUGGCAGGCCCUAAAAUUAGUGGCGGUGCCGCUGAGCCCUGAGCGUAGUAAUUCUCCUCGCUACAGGCCCUCGGCGUGCCCCCGCCAGAACCCCCAAUCUACUAUG
This 145-nucleotide unclassified non-coding RNA is filed under the name uncultured Lophodermium. Its description in RNAcentral is "sequence contains ITS2". Lineage: Eukaryota; Fungi; Ascomycota; Leotiomycetes; Rhytismatales; Rhytismataceae. The record is from RNAcentral.